Molecule: ribosomal RNA, 562 nt
Filed under: uncultured Acidobacteriaceae bacterium
Lineage: Bacteria; Pseudomonadati; Acidobacteriota; Terriglobia; Terriglobales; Acidobacteriaceae
Description: bacterial SSU rRNA
Rfam family: Bacterial small subunit ribosomal RNA
Source: RNAcentral
AAUCAACGCUGGCGGCGUGCCUAACACAUGCAAGUCGAACGAGAAAGUGGAGCAAUCCAUGAGUAAAGUGGCGCACGGGUGAGUAACACGUGACUAACCUACCUUUUAGUGGGGGAUAACCUAGGGAAACCUGGGCUAAUACCGCAUAAUACCUACGGGUCAAAGCAGCAAUGCGCUGAAAGAGGGGGUCGCGGCCGAUUAGCUAGUUGGCGGGGUAAUGGCCCACCAAGGCAGUGAUCGGUAUCCGGCCUGAGAGGGCGCACGGACACACUGGAACUGAAACACGGUCCAGACUCCUACGGGAGGCAGCAGUGGGGAAUUUUGCGCAAUGGGGGAAACCCUGACGCAGCAACGCCGCGUGGAGGAUGAAGUCCCUUGGGACGUAAACUCCUUUCGAUCGGGACGAUAAUGACGGUACCGGAAGAAGAAGCCCCGGCUAACUUCGUGCCAGCAGCCGCGGUAAUACGAGGGGGGCGAGCGUUGUUCGGAAUUAUUGGGCGUAAAGGGUGCGUAGGUGGUUCGGCAAGUCUUGUGUGAAAUCUCAGGCUCAACUUGAAGUCUG